This 497-nucleotide ribosomal RNA is filed under the name uncultured bacterium. RNAcentral's name for it is "partial 16S ribosomal RNA". It matches the Rfam family "Bacterial small subunit ribosomal RNA", at positions 28 to 507 of the family's 1533-position model. The record is from RNAcentral.
GAUGAACGCUGGCGGCGUGCCUAAUACAUGCAAGUCGAGCGAACAGACGAGGAGCUUGCUCCUCUGACGUUAGCGGCGGACGGGUGAGUAACACGUGGAUAACCUACCUAUAAGACUGGGAUAACUUCGGGAAACCGGAGCUAAUACCGGAUAAUAUAUUGAACCGCAUGGUUCAAUAGUGAAAGACGGUUUUGCUGUCACUUAUAGAUGGAUCCGCGCCGCAUUAGCUAGUUGGUAAGGUAACGGCUUACCAAGGCAACGAUGCGUAGCCGACCUGAGAGGGGGAUCGGCGACACUGGAACUGAGACACGGUCCAGACUCCUACGGGAGGCAGCAGUAGGGAAUCUUCCGCAAUGGGCGAAAGCUUGACGGAGCAACGCCGCGUGAGUGAUGAAGGUCUUCGGAUCGUAAAACUCUGUUAUUAGGGAAGAACAAAUGUGUAAGUAACUAUGCACGUCUUGACGGUACCUAAUCAGAAAGCCACGGCUAACUACGUG